Pan troglodytes (chimpanzee) is the source of this 2560-nucleotide long non-coding RNA. RefSeq lists it as uncharacterized. The record is from RefSeq and is a predicted model, not a curated record. NCBI's taxonomy places the organism in Eukaryota, Metazoa, Chordata, Mammalia, Primates, Hominidae. The transcript is spliced from 5 exons.
GUCUUCCAGCAGGGCGGGGCCCAGCUCCGGUUGUUCCGCCACGUUUGAGCGGGCGAGCCCGGCGGCCGGGAGACGCCAGGGAACGGGGCUGGUGGGGGUGCAAAGGCUCGGUUCCGUCGCCUUCAGCCCUGCGGUGGGGGCACGGGGCAAGUGAGGGGACGGCAGAGGCGGCGUUCGGUGUGAGGCUGCGCCCUGGGCUCCUGAAAAUCCAGGGCUGCAGUCAUUUGAAGGCUUGACUGGGGCUGGAGGAUUUUCAUCCAAGAUGGCUCACUCACCCAGCUGUUGGCAGGAGACCUCGGUUCUUUGACUUCUCCGUAAGACUGUAGACAGAGCUGCCCCGUGUUGCCCAGGCCGGAGUGUAGUGAUGCGAUCUUACCUCACUGCAGCUUUGAGUUCCUGGGCGUGGCACAAGCAGUUCUUGAACUCCUGGCCUCAAGCUAUCCUCCUGCCUUGGCCUCCCAAGCUGCUGGGAUUACAGGCGUGAGCCACUGCACCCAGCUGGAAUGCACAUUCUAAGUUACAAGAUUUUCAGAUCAAAUAACAAGGGAAAGAAGACUUGAUUAUGUAUACACACACAAAAAGAAAGUGUUAUCAAAACUGACAAGAAAAAUGAGAAGACAGCCAUCUGCAUGUCAAGAAGAGGACCCUCACCAGAAACUGAGUUGGCUGAAACUUUGAUCUUGAACUUCCCAGCCUCAAGACCUGUGAGAAAUCAAUUUCUGUCAUUUAAACCGCCCAGCAUAUGGUAUUUUACAAUGGCAGUGUGAGCAGAUGGAGGAGUUUGCUCUAGAAGUGAGCUCAGGAUUGCAAGGUUUGAGAAUUCCUAGAACCAACAUUAUUUCUGCAUGUGAUGACCUUCCCUCAUGUCCUUGCUUUUACCUGUGCAUCAGUUUGCUGAUCCCAUCUAGGAAUGUUCUUAACCUCUUAGGCAGUUACUAAGAGUGAUUUUAGAUGCUCUUGUUCUCAGGGCACUCAGAUUCCCCAUUUUCCUCUUUCCAUUUGCUCCCACAUGAAUACCAAGUGAAUCCUGUCAAUACUGGUGGUUCAUUCCUUCUUCUCAUAUUUUUGGAUUCUUAUCCACUAGUUUUAUUGCAGAUCAGUAUAUCCUUUUGAUAGUGUAGUUUUAGCCUAGGGAUCACUAUAUCAAUAAAUAUGUGACUUACAUGGACUUCAUAGGCCACACCUACAAAUCAUUCUGUACUUUUAAUCUUGAUGUGAACUGAAGAAUACCACUUAUGAAGCAGAAGGGUGAUAAUAGACUAUCCGGGAGCUUUAUCGUACUGGACAGGUCUCUGAAUCAGCUUAAGCCUGAUGAGCUAGUUGAUCUAAAUUUCACUGUAUUUAAGCUUUAUCUCUGAGCCAGAUCUAACCAUCUUCAGAACAGAGAAAUGAGAGUUUUGGAUUUCAUUCCACUUCUGUUUUAAAAAAUAUUCUCCAACCUCGAAAAAUAUAUGUCUGCAUCCAGUGAAAUUCUUAACCUCUUGGAAUCACUUUGUUCUUAAAUAACAAGGCCUUGAUCCUCUAGUAGAACUAAAAUUUAAAAAGUUAUUAACUGUAAAGGUAUCCAAUUAUUUUCAAAGUAAGUCUGAAGUUAAGAGCUAAUCAUAUAUAUGAGAAAAGAAAUCAUGGUUGAAUCAUGGUCAAUUUUUCCUUAUCAGAGAAGAGACAUGGAAUUUACACUGAGUUCUCUAAGUCAGCUAUUUUAUAUGCAUAUGAGUUUUAAAUAGUAAAUAUUUCUUUCCUGAAACAUUGAUGUGUAAAUCUGGGACAUAUCCUACUUUAGGAAGUUGUUCUGUAAUAAAAUAUAAGGCUUGGAGCUAUUAAAAAAAACCCAAUGCCCUACCAUUGCUAAAAGUUUCAAUUGUUCAGGGACAGAAUAAGUGAUGGGAUUUAGAAAAUCAUAAUGAUGGCUUUGACAUUUCUAGCUUAUUUUGUCCAAUUAUUAAUUACAAGUGUCUUUUGAUUUUUCUGCAUAUUUCUCCAUCAAUGAGUAAAAGCUUUUGAUCUGUGUUCUAUGUGGAACCCCAUGGGGAGAGAGAGAUAAAUAAUAGGAAAGAGUGAAAUAAAAGGAAAUGGAAAUUAGAAAAAUAUUUGCUUUUAUAGAUUUUAAAUACUGAAUUCACAUUCCAAUAAAUUUAUCUUUUUUGAAGGUUUUAAAAAUGCGAACUCAAUAAUCUACAAAUUUCCCUUAGUGAUAUAAAAUAGUUUCUAACUUGGUCCCCAAAUUGCUUAUUGAUAUGUAUCCCAAGGUACUUCUGUCCUCUGUGGUAGAGAAUAAAGGGAAGCCAGGAAGUGUGGGUCAGGAUCUCUGGGAAACUGCUGGCUUCUAGCAAGGCUGGCACGGGUGUGUUCCCAUGGAAGGAAAGAACCAAAGGUGCUGGUGAGUAGCUCACCACAGGGGUCAGCCCUGCAGCCCUCUCUGUGAGAUUGUCCUCAGCCUGUGCCUUGGGAAGUAGAAUUUCCUAUAUGUUCUCCACUUAGCAUGUUAUCAACAAUAUACCCCAUCAGGCACUCAAUAAAUAAAUGAAUGGAAAUCCUCCAAAUCAGGAUAAACCUCAAA